CGAGACGUAGCUUUAACAAAAGCAUUCAGCUUACACCUGAAAGAUAUCCAUUAAACUGGGUCGUCUUGA
RNAcentral lists this transfer RNA (69 nucleotides) under Oriolus oriolus (Eurasian golden-oriole). Its description in RNAcentral is "tRNA-Val". The record is from RNAcentral. Lineage: Eukaryota; Metazoa; Chordata; Aves; Passeriformes; Corvidae.